Molecule: non-coding RNA, 18 nt
Filed under: Arabidopsis thaliana (thale cress)
Lineage: Eukaryota; Viridiplantae; Streptophyta; Magnoliopsida; Brassicales; Brassicaceae
Also listed under: 1 other name
Source: RNAcentral
AGGAAGGCAGCAGGCGCG